This 422-nucleotide ribosomal RNA is filed under the name uncultured eukaryote. Its description in RNAcentral is "SSU rRNA". It matches the Rfam family "Eukaryotic small subunit ribosomal RNA", at positions 592 to 1018 of the family's 1831-position model. The record is from RNAcentral.
CAAUAGCGUAUAUUAAAGUUGUUGCGGUUAAAAAGCUCGUAGUUGGAUUUCUGUCGAGAACGCGCGGUCCACGCUUUGCGUGAGCAUCUGUGUCGGUCUUGGCAUCCUCUAGGGGAUCGUUUCUGCGCUUGAUUGCGUGGAGCGGAACUCUAGACUUUUACUUUGAGGAAAUUAGAGUGUUCACGGCAGGCAAACGCCUUGAAUACAUUAGCAUGGAAUAAUAACAUAGGACCUUGGUUCUAUUUUGUUGGUUUCUAGAGCUGAGGUAAUGAUUAAUAGGGACAAUUGGGGGCAUUAGUAUCAACACGUCAGAGGUGGAAUUCUUGGAUUGUGUUGCGACUAACUACUGCGAAAGCAUUUGCCAAGGAUGUUUUCAUUGAUCAAGAACGAAAGUAAGGGGAUCGAAGAUGAUUAGAUACCGU